CAGCGGAGGCGCGCCAGAGCCAGAGCGUCUCGAGCUGAGCUGAUGGACGGAGCGAAGACCGCUGGAAUCAUGACUCUGCUGACCUCUCACCCCGACCCCCUGCCCUAACCUCCCCCUCUCCCCCAGAUCUCCCCCCUCUCGCAGCCCCGCCGUCCAGAAGCGCGUGUCAGUGGAUCCGAGCCGCUCGCUCCUUGUCGCUCUCCCGGUUCGUCCCGGACUUCUCCCCGGUGUUCUCCCCGGUGAUCUCCCGGUGUUGUCUAGGGACCGGAGGGACGCGAUGUGGAGGUCCGGCCUACUGCUGCUCCUGGCCGGACACCUCGUCUCAUGUGAGCUGCAGCCGGACCCCGGGAUAACCCCGCCGCCCGGGAGACCCCCGCCGCCCGGGAGACCCCCCCGGGAGAGGCUGGACUUCGGUUCCGUCCCGGCGGGGGUCUACGAGACCCUGGCCCACUACGAGCCAGGACCUAUCGGGAUCCUCUUCAGCCUGGUGCACGCCUUCCUGUGCGUGGUCCAGCCAAACCCCUUCCCCCAAGAUCUCAUCGUAAAACUGGUGAAGGAGAAGUUUGGAGCGCCUCAGACGGAGUAUCAGAAGCCAGAGAACAUAGUCCUGACCCUGCAGGUGCUCUACUAUGAACUGGGCUUCCUGCUGUGUGCGGCGGUGGGCGUGGUGUACCUGGUGCUCCUCCCCCUCGCCGGCCUCCUGCUGUGUAUCUGCCGUUGCUGUGACAACUGCGGAGGGGAAAUGCACCAGCGGCAGCGGAAGAACGCCGACUGUCAGCGCGGCCUUCUGGGAACGCUACUGUUCACCACCUCGCUGGUCAUCAGCAUCGGAGUGCUGUGUGCCUACACAGCCAAUCAGACGCUGAGCUCUCAGGUGAAGAACGUCAGGCGAUUGGUCAACAGCAACAUGAGGGACCUUCACACCUUCGUCAACGACACGCCCACGCAAAUUGACUUCCUGGUCUCUCAGUACUCGACUGCGAAAGGAAAAGUUCUGUAUGACCUCGACAAUAUAGGUCCUCUACUUGGCGGAAGGAUACACGGGCAGCUAGGGAAGGAGGUCCGGCCUGCCAUGGACGGAGCGCUCAGUCUGGCUGGAGUGAAAAUCGAAAGAGCCCUAAAAGCGAUGCGAGAGACGAGGGAGGCUCUGGAGAAUGCCAGUGUGUCUCUGGAGGUGCUCCAGGAGGGCAGCGGGAAGCUGGCCUUCAGCCUGAGUCUGAUGAGGAGCAGUCUGAGGCGCAGCCUGGACGACCCGGCCUGCAGGGACCCCAAGAACCAGCCCACCUCCGCCCAGCUCUGCAGCGCCAUCCAGAGCUCCCUCAGCCACCUCCACCUGCACGCCAACUACUCCAGGCUGGCAAGUGUGAACCCUCAGCUGGAGAAGAUGAACCAGGUUCUGCAGACAGACUUGAGAGCCGUCAUCCAGAGGGGCUACUCGUCUCUGAACAAUACUCCUUCCAUGGUGGUGGAUCAGACCACGUCCGUGGUGGAGGGGGUGAGAGGGCUGUUGGACGGCAUUGGCUCCAACAUCAGCAGCUUCUCCAAGGGUUUCCCGGUCCGAAGCAGUCUGGCCAACUUCACCAUCUUCAUCAACCAGGCCCACUCGUCCAUCGAGGACCACUACCCCCAGCUGGACCAGGCAGACUUCUACAGGUGGGCUGGCUGCAUCGCGCUGUGCUGCAUGCUGGUCCUGGUCCUGGCCUUCAACUACCUGGGCCUGCUGUGUGGAACGCUGGGCUACGACAAACACGCCUCACCCACCACCCGGGGCUGCAUCUCCAACACUGGGGGCACCCUGCUCAUGGCGGGGGUGGGCUUCAGCUUCCUGUUCUCCUGGCUGCUCAUGGGGGUCGUCACCGCCGCCUUCCUGGUUGGGGGGAACCUGGAGAAGCUGCUCUGUGAGCCCUACCACAGCAAGGAGCUCUUCAAGCUCCUGGACACGCCCCACAUGGUGGACCCCCAGUGGAGGAACUUCAUCCCCGGGUUCCUGUACAACGACUCGGACCUGGACCUCACCGUGGAGAACCUGUACAGUAACUGUAAGGAGAACAGGGGUAUCUACUCCGCCGGGCGUCUGGAUAAGAUCUUCAACAUCACAGCGUUCCUCAACACAACCCUGUUCACCAGGGAGGUGGUGUCGGUGCUGGAGGGGAUCCGUCUGGACCUGGGUGGGGUGGAGCUGCUGCAGGCGGAGGGGCGGCAGAACCUUCUGGACUUCUCUGAGUCCGGCCUGUCAGAGAUCAACUACGCCCAAUACCUGGAGGAGGUGAAUAAAGGUGUGACGGUGGAGGACCUGCUGACCUUCACCAGCCAGCUGGAGGCCCAGACGGACCUCAUGCCCGAGGGGCCCCUCCAGACCGCUCUGAAGGGCCACACCAGCACCCUGAGACAGAUCCACAGCCAGCAGGUGGUGCCACUGGAGCAGGCCAUGAAAUAUGUGAGAGCCAGGAGUGCGUUGAACCAGAGUAUGAGGUUCCUGGAGCGAACGGCCUCCGACCUGCCAAACAAAGUUUUGGCCGUUUUAAACGCCCUGGAUGAAGCCCAAUACCUAAUCUCCAAGAAUGCAACACAACUGACCAGUCAGGAGACGAAGCUGUACAAGGACGUCAUCGUUGGCUACUUCCAGCAGUACAUUGACUGGGUGAAGAGCUCGCUGGCAUUGGAGGUGGCGACCUGUAAGCCCUUGAGCAACAUGGUGGACACUACCCACAUCCUCACUUGCAACUUCCUGCUGGACGCCAUGAACACGUUCUGGAUGGGUCUGGGCUGCAGCACGCUGUUCCUCCUGCCCAGCAUCGUCCUCGCCGUGAAGCUCGCCAAGUUCUACCGCCGCAUGGAAACAGAGGACGUCUACGACGACAAUGACACAAUCCCCAUGAAAACGUAAGAGUUAUUUUACCCAGAAUUCCUUUCCCCUGUCUUUGUUGUUCUGUGUCCUUUUCCUGCCUUUAAUCUCCUGCUUUUCGAUAGUUGAACUGGAUUCAGUAUUUGUACUGGUUUCACUGGUUUCAUUGGUUUAACUUGGGUGCUGGUGGAGGUCUGUGAAGCUGUGGGUGCUGGGGUCUCCUGGGGUCUUCAGACGUGUCCCUCCUCAUUGGUCAGAUCCACCUGACCAGCGUUACCAGUUUAGUGUUCAGAUCCCCCUGACCAGCGUUCCCAGUGUAGUGUUCAGAUCCCCCUGACCAGCGUUCCCAGUGUAGUGUUCAGAUCCCCCUGACCAGCGUUCCCAGUGUAGUGUUCAGAUCCCCCUGACCAGCGUUCCCAGUGUAGUUUUCAGGCCACUCUGUCCUUCAGUAGAAGAACCUUUCUGUUCAGUACUGACGGAGGCCUGCAGGGGGCGCUCUACAUGUGGUGUGUUUGUCGCGUUAGUAAUGGUUAUCAUAGAGGGGUUGUAAUGGUUACCAUAGUGGUUUAAUGGUUAUCAUAGAGAUAUUGUAAUGGUUACCAUAAUGGUGUAAUGGUUAUCAUAGAGGGGUUGUAAUGGUUACCAUAAUGGUGUAAUGGUAGUAAUGGUUAUCACAGAGAGGUUGGCCCGGCAGUGCUGAGACCGCCUCACAGUGUUCCCUCCUAUGACACUAUGACCAGGUUUCCCCGGGCCUCCGCCCCCCCGAGCUACAUCGACUGGUGACGGAGUGAAAGUGGCCCGGCAGGGUGGAGCUAAACAAUGGUCUACCACAGGAGAAGACCACGGGAAGUCUCUGCUCCCUCCUCCAAUCAACAAUCACAAAACAUAAUCAAUGAAAGACCAGCAAAGCCCCCCGACCCACUCUCCAGCCAGGGAUCUCUCUCACCACGCCUGGAGCCUCCAGGGUCUCUCCUAGAGCCUCCAGGUUCUCUCCAGAACCCUCCAGGAUCUUCCUUUUUUCUAGUUUUUCAUUCUUUUUUGACCUUUUGAAAAGGUCAAGGGAUGGUCACAGUGAACUGUGAGGAGUUGUGACCUUUCACCCCAGCUCCGGACCUAGUUGCUCCUCAUGUCUGGUGCUAGACCCUCCCAAAGUUCUUCCUGUUUCCUGUUUCCUGUUUCCAGUUUUGCGGACAAAAGAUGGGAUCGCUGACACCGACGACCUACCAGUCUGUAAUACUCAGAAUACUAACUCAUGGUUUCAUCCCAGUGAAGCUCAAAGAAACCCUUCUUUGUUCAAGUCUCAAUGUUUACAACCUUCUGUGGGCACCAGAAGUCUCCUGCUGGUAGUGAUUUCAAACAAAGCAUGACUUUAAAACUUGUGUUGGAGCAUGGCCGACGUCCGCAUGCUGCCUUUAGUUUAUUAUUCGAUUCUUUAACCACACUUGAGGAUAUUGUGUUAAGAUGACUAACUCUAAACAUAUCAGUUUUGCUUUUGUAGUGCUCACUGAAGUGAGUAAUUUGCUUUUUUUUUGAGUACACUACUAUUUUUAUCAUAGCCUACAGAUCAACUCUUAAAUCUAUGGUAUGCCGGGCUAGAUUUAAAAGGUAUCAAACCAAAAAAAAGUCUCACCCCUCCCUGCAGCCCUCCCUCCAAAGCCACUCCCCCUAAUCACAUGACUUGCUCGCUAGUGUAGCCACAGGUCUGCUAGCCCUGUGGAAGACUCCUGUCAUGGUUUACUAGCUAGCUAGCUUUAGCCACAGCACUGAGAGCAUGGGCAGACAGCUUGCAGGUGUCCGGAUAAGAAGGUAGACAGACAGGCGAAUCACAGCUCUGUGCAGCCACAGAUAUCAGAUUUGUUUUUGUUUUUGUCAGAGCAUUUGAUUUACUGAUUGCUGAAAAUGUCAAUAAAAAUGACAAAAAUAUCCUUCUGAAAUAAAUUGCCUACCCUAGUUUU
RNA transcript from Gadus morhua (Atlantic cod), 4800 nucleotides. It is a transcript of the gene named prominin 1a, with no coding region annotated. NCBI's taxonomy places the organism in Eukaryota, Metazoa, Chordata, Actinopteri, Gadiformes, Gadidae. The record is from RefSeq and is a predicted model, not a curated record. The transcript has 29 exons.